RNAcentral lists this ribosomal RNA (372 nucleotides) under uncultured organism. Its description in RNAcentral is "partial 16S ribosomal RNA". It matches the Rfam family "Bacterial small subunit ribosomal RNA", at positions 527 to 896 of the family's 1533-position model. The record is from RNAcentral.
GUAGGUGGCAAGCGUUGUCCGGAAUUAUUGGGCGUAAAGCGCGCGCAGGCGGUUUUUUAAGUCUGAUGUGAAAGCCCACGGCUCAACCGUGGAGGGUCAUUGGAAACUGGAGAACUUGAGUACAGAAGAGGAAAGCGGAAUUCCACGUGUAGCGGUGAAAUGCGUAGAGAUGUGGAGGAACACCAGUGGCGAAGGCGGCUUUCUGGUCUGUAACUGACGCUGAGGCGCGAAAGCGUGGGGAGCAAACAGGGAUUAGAUACCCUGGUAGUCCACGCCGUAAACGAUGAGUGCUAAGUGUUAGGGGGUUUCCCGCCCCUUAGUGCUGCAGCUAACGCAUUAAGCACUCGCCUGGGGAGUACGGCCGCAAGGCUG